AAGUAAACUAGGUUUAUAGACGACCAACUGCAGGAAAAUAUAAAAGUACUAAUACACAAGCCUAUAUUAUGCCGAAGAACAACCUUGCAGAACUUUAUUUCUCUCCUCGACUAAGUCAAGAAAAUAAAGAUCGCAAAACCCAAAAAAGGACCCAAGUUUCUACUACUUACUUAUCUAUAUAGUAGCUUUUAGCAGACACUAAUAGAAAAACUAUAACUGUAUUGCUCGUUAUUUCACCUAACCUUAAAACUAUUUUG
Molecule: unclassified non-coding RNA, 257 nt
Filed under: Hevea brasiliensis (rubber tree)
Lineage: Eukaryota; Viridiplantae; Streptophyta; Magnoliopsida; Malpighiales; Euphorbiaceae
Source: RNAcentral